UAAUACAGAGGGUGCGAGCGUUAAUCGGAUUUACUGGGCGUAAAGGGCGCGUAGGUGGUAAAGCAAGUAAGAUGUGAAAGCCCUGGGCUUAACCUGGGAAGUGCAUCUUAAACUGCUUAACUAGAGUAUGGUAGAGGGUAGUGGAAUUUCCGGUGUAGCGGUGAAAUGCGUAGAGAUCGGAAGGAACGCCAGUGGUGAAGACGACUACCUGGACCAAUACUGACACUGAGGCGCGAAAGCGUGGGGAUCAAACAGGAUUAGAUACCCUGGUAGUCCACGCUGUAAACGAUGAGGACUGGAUGUCAGGCAGCUUGGCUGUUUGGUAUCGAAGCUAACGCGAUAAGUUCUCCGCCUGGGAAGUACGGUCGCAAGAUUA
Molecule: ribosomal RNA, 376 nt
Filed under: uncultured bacterium
Lineage: Bacteria
Description: bacterial SSU rRNA
Rfam family: Bacterial small subunit ribosomal RNA
Source: RNAcentral